This 334-nucleotide unclassified non-coding RNA is filed under the name soil metagenome. RNAcentral describes it as "partial contains 5.8S ribosomal RNA, internal transcribed spacer 2, and large subunit ribosomal RNA". The stretch from base 1 to 120 matches the Rfam family "5.8S ribosomal RNA", at positions 35 to 154 of the family's 154-position model. The record is from RNAcentral.
GAUGAAGAACGUAGCGAAAUGCGAUAAGUAAUGUGAAUUGCAGAAUUCAGAGAAUCAUCGAAUCUUUGAACGCACAUUGCGCCCGCCAGUAUUCUGGCGGGCAUGCCUGUUCGAGCGUCAUUUCAACCAUCAAGCCCUGCUUGCGUUGGGGUCCUGCGGCUGCCCGCAGGCCCUGAAAACCAGUGGCGGGCUCGCUAGUCACACCGAGCGCAGUAAUACAUCUCGCUUUGGGCGUGCGGCGGGUUCUUGCCGUUAAACACCCCCUUUUUACCAAGGUUGACCUCGGAUCAGGUAGGAAUACCCGCUGAACUUAAGCAUAUCAAUAAGCGGAGGA